Oncorhynchus keta (chum salmon) is the source of this 1251-nucleotide long non-coding RNA. RefSeq lists it as uncharacterized. NCBI's taxonomy places the organism in Eukaryota, Metazoa, Chordata, Actinopteri, Salmoniformes, Salmonidae. The transcript is spliced from 3 exons. The record is from RefSeq and is a predicted model, not a curated record.
UCCAGUGACCACAUUCAGAGUAGUAGACAGAUCACAACAGGAAAACAGGAGUCUGACACUGUGACAUAGAUCUAAAUCAACCAAAUUAGACAGUGGCAUAUGUCUAAUCAACCAGAUACUGUAGGACUCCAAAUCUCCUUGAUGGAUCUCAGGGUUCUGGCUUUUGUGCUGUGUGUCACCAUAUACUCCAUCCAAGGAGCCAUUCCAAAAUGUUGUGUUGGGACAUCCAGGAACAUUCCUUUGAGCUUACUAAUGCGAGUGGAGCGAUAUGAUGUCCAACACAACCAUGGUGCAUGUGAGAUCGACGCUGUUGUAUUACAUGCCAAUGGGAGGAAGUACUGUGCAGACCCAAGAGUGAAGAAGGUCCUGGGAGUUGCCAUGCAGAUUAGGAAAGCUCAACUGAUGCGGGAAAAACUGAACUCAAUCAUGAGAAGAUGAGGGUAUAGAUCCUGCCAGUUCCCUACAGUGGAGUCACCGUGACAACUUUGAUUAAUGUGUUUUAAAUUCAAGUUUUUUGUUCUGUUUACACAUUAAAAAAAUAUUUCUUUUAAAUUGCCUUUUUAUAAUGUUCAUAUUUCAAUCAUUAAUAAAUUAACUGUGAUUUUCAAUUAACCCUAAUUAGCUUUUGCUUUAUUAGCCAACUCAAAUGUGGUGAGUGACCAGUGUAACGGAUGUGAAACGGCUAGCUUAGUUAGCGGUGCGCGCUAAAUAGCGUUUCAAUCGGUUACGUCACUUGCUCUGAGACCUUGAAGUAGUAGUUCCCCUUGCUCUGCAAGGGCCGCGGCUUUUGUGGAGCGAUGGGUAACGAUGCUUUGUGGGUGACUGUUGUCGAUGUGUGCAGAAGGUCCCUGGUUCGCGCCCGGGUAUGGGCGAGGGGACGGUUUAAAAUUAUACUGUUACACCAGCAAUAACAACUAAAAAUUGGUGAGGCUGAACAAAAUGCACAUGGAUAGAUUAAACAGCUUGUUGAACCUCCGAUCAGUGAAUUACUUCCUCUUCAACAUAGUGAUUUAAAUGAGUCAGUGGUUGGUGAUCUGAUCCAGGGUUUCCACUCAAGCAGCAUACUUUGUGUUAAUUAAUUACUCUCUAGAAGGCACUGCAUUCCCCAAAACAUUGAUUAUUGGGUUUACCCAUUAAAUUAUUGGGAGCAUAUAGAGUAUAUGUGACUUAUUUUACAAUUCAUUUCUUUUAACCAUAUGGGUUACACCCCAGUGAAAUAUGAGAAAUAAAGUAUUAAAACAAUGGAAAGGA